Molecule: microRNA, 22 nt
Filed under: Petromyzon marinus (sea lamprey)
Lineage: Eukaryota; Metazoa; Chordata; Hyperoartia; Petromyzontiformes; Petromyzontidae
Description: pma-miR-144-3p
Gene: pma-miR-144-3p
Source: miRBase by way of RNAcentral
UACAGUAUAUAUGAUGUGCUGC